Molecule: long non-coding RNA, 4249 nt
Filed under: Homo sapiens (human)
Lineage: Eukaryota; Metazoa; Chordata; Mammalia; Primates; Hominidae
Description: HSALNT0326328
Source: RNAcentral
AGGACUAAGAAACUUGAGGCUAGGCUGACCCCAUGGUUGUUAUGAUUAGAAAUCCGAGGCCACUGGAAACCCGGAGCUGCUGACCAACGAGUCACAGGGUAACUUCGCCUUCGCAUGGGGAAACGGGCUGGUGCAGUGGUGUCAUCUUGGCUCAGUGCAGCCUCGACUUCCUGGGAUCCAGCGAUCCUCCCGCUUCAGCCUCUAGAGUAGCCGAGACCACAGGAUUUGGAAGAGGGCAGGAGAGAAAAAUGAACUGCAAGACUCCAGCACAAGAGGUGGGAUUGCUGGCAGAUGUCUGCUCCCUCUCCAAACCUAAUGAACAUCUCAAAGUGCCAUCCACUUUCCUAUACCCUUGAUCUGUGAAAUGGAUCACUGACGCUUUCUCUGUCUUUCCGGAAAUGCAAAACAGGUGAAUUUUCAAGCGCUUGAAUUGUCUCUCACACUUUUCAGUCAAGAGUGGGGCUAUAAACUCCUUCCUCAUAGGAAAUAAGGAACUGCCACUGCUUGGAAGUAAAACGUAUUUUUCCCAUAAGCUUUCACAUUUCCCAAAAAAAAUUAUACAUCCAGAUGUAAUCCCCCUAAGAGGCUUACAGACCCUACCAGGAGCGUUCCCACGCGAACGCAUCAUCUCCCAAUCGGAUCCUGAAAACACCAUGCAACCAAUUCCAUCCUUUUCUGGAUCAACCUGGGCAGAGGACAGGUGCAGAGGAGCCCAGAGAAGGGCCUUGACAAGUCAGGAGACCCAAUUUGGGGUCGCAAUUGUCACUCACUCCCCAGGCGUUUGCUUUGAUCUUCCCCUCCCACCAUACUACUUCUUCUGCUACCUGGUUUCUCCCUGGUAUUUGAGGAUCCUCCAAUUGCCUUCUGGUCUUACAGACGGGAGAAUAAAGGAAAAAUGGCAUCGUUUCCACCUUAAAAGUUACAAGCACUUCACCAGAUGGUACAGCCUAGGUAGAGCCUUUGUAAAACAAAUGCCCGCCCACUGCUUCACCCUCCUCAUUUCCACCUCAGCAAAGCAUUUUAGCAGAAAAGCUGACCCAGAGCAGUAGCUCCCUGCUAUAAUCCUAGCACUUUGGGAGGCUAAGUCAGGAGUAUCUCUUUAGCCCAGAAGUUCAAUACCACCCUAAGCACAAAGUGAGAUCCUGCCUCUACCAAAAAAAGAAAAAAAAAAUUGAAAAAUUAGUCGGAUUUGGUCUCGAGUGCCUGUAGUCCCAGCUACUCGGGAAGCCGAAGUGGGAGGAUCUCUUGAGCCCUAGAGAUGCAGGCUGCAGUGAAUGGUGAUCUGGGACCGCAUCACUGCAGUUCAGUCUGGGUGACAGAGGGAGACGUUGUCUCAGAAAAUAAAAUAAAAUAAAAAAUAACAUAACUGGGAUUACAAGCUCUGUAAGAAGGGGUCACCUGAGACAUUAUUACAUAUACCAUUAACAGAGGAAAAUGCUGCAAAUUAUACUGUGUCCCAAUGGUAAGAGGCCACCCAUUUAAAAAUAUAUACAUAUUUCAGAGAUACUAAAUGAGAAAAAUGUUUACCCUAGAACUGAUUAAAUUCAGGUAUCCACUCCUUUAUUUUCAAUCUUUAGUGCCAUUUUUUAGUUUGUUUAUGUCUUGAAAAUAGCAUAGAGAUUAGAGUUGUAAUUCUUUAUUUUUUAAAUUAUUUUUAUUUUGUUCACUUAUUUAUUUAUUUUUGAGACAGAAUCUUGCUCUGUCACCCAGGCUGGAAUGCAGUGGCACGAUCUCAGUUCACUGUAACCUCUGCUUCCGAGGUUCAAGCCAUUCUUGUGCCUCAGCCUCCAGAGUAGCUGGGACCACUGGCUCCUGCCACAACACCCGGGUAAUUUUUGUAUUUUUAGAAGAAACGGGGUUUCACCAUGUUGGCCAGGCUAGCCUUGAACUCCUGAUCUCAUGUGAUCCACCCACCUCGGCCUCCCAAAGUGCCAGGAUUACAGGCAUGAGCCACCAUGCCAAGCCAAGUUGUAAUUUUUUGAAACCUAUUUUUUGAUUGUAUUUGUUUUUUUCAUAGCUCAAUACACUGAAAUGGUUGGGUAAGUGGGAAAAUCAUCUUCCCCACUCCUCCAGUAUCUGUAAGGUGCAAUUUCUCAUAAACACUUUCAGCUUCUUGCCUCCCCUUUUAGUUCUUCUCACAUAUUGUGUGGUUUGUGGCAUGAAAAUCAUUAUUUGUGACAGACACCAUACCAACUAUAUUUUGUGCUUUAUCUUGUUUCAUUCUCAACCGAAAAAUGUGGUGAGCACAUGCUUUGUGCUGGGCUUUCUUCUUAGUUCUCUCCAUUUUGUAGAUGCACAGCCUCACUUAGGGAAGUUGGAGUGCAUAUAGCUCUGUCUGUGGCUGAAUAGAUAAAUGUAAUUUUAGCAUUCAAUGUUAAGAAAUCAACUCUUGGUGCAAAUUUAAGGCUCAUCUUCUAAUGUAGUGUGUGUGUGUGUGUGUGUGUGUGUGUGUGUGUGUGUGAUUUUACUGUGUCCCUUCUCCCUAACACUCCAGUUCAAGAUAGCAACCUAAGUUCUGAGUUGAUUAUUCUGGACACACUCUCUCAAAAUUUGACUGUUGGACACCAGAAUACACCACCCCAAUAUACCAAUAUACCUCUGGCAUAUUGAUUAUUUCAGGCCUAGCAUGGUAGCUCACACCUGUAAUCCUAGUGCUUCGGGAGCCCAGGAGUUCAUCAGCAGGCUGGGCACAUAAGGGGUCCCAUCUCUACAAAAGUAUUUUUUAAAAAUUAGCUGGGUGUGGUGGCAUGAGCCUAUAGUCCUGGUUACUAGGGAAGCCAAGGCAGGAGGAUGGCUUGAAUCCAGAAGUUUAAAGUUACAGAGAACUAUAAUCAUGCCACUGCAUUUCAGCCUGGGUGAAAGAGUAAGACCCUGUCUCUAAAACAAAAACAAAAUAGGGCUGGGAACUGGUGGCUCACGCCUGUAAUCCCAGCACGUUGGGAGGCCGAAGUGGGCAGAUCACCUGAAGCCAGGAGUUUGAGGCCUGGCCAACAGUCUCUACUAAAAAUAUAAAAAUUAGCUGGGUGUGGUGGUGCAUGCCUAUAAUCCCAGCUACACAGAGGUUGAGGCACGAGAAUUGUUUCAACCCAGGAGGCAGAGGUUGCAGCGAGCCCAGAUCAUGCCACUGCACCCCACCCUGGGCGAUAGCGCAAGAAGACUCUGUCUAAAAAAAAACAAAACAAAUUAAAAAAAAAACAAAACGAGAUGAGAGAAAACCUUCAUCUGUACUGUACUGCUAUACUCCUUACUCCUCUUUAUGACAGAAUACAGAAAGAUAAAGACAAAGAAAAGACUAUUCUGGGAGGAAAGGGGAUGAAACAACAUGAUUCAUACUACAAAGUACCAAAAAGUACACCAGAGUCGAUACACCAGCACUAGUCACACAAAUCCUUUUCUCCCAUCAGUCAAUAUUUUGGACAGGAAAAAUAGAGAGUGAUUUUUACUGUCUACUUCACCAGAUUCCACAGAGUGGGGCCUGGAAUCUGGCUGGUAAAAAUUCUUUAUCCUUAUGCUGGCUGAUCAGCUCCUGGUUUCCCUCAACUGUGGGCUUCCAAAAGAGCCAAACUUUGGGUUCCUGCUCACAGCACCAAAUUUUCAGGGGCCAAGGGAAAUCUUUCUCUGCGCACUCUGAAAGUUUGCUCUAAAAUGGACUCACAGAGGCAGAUUAAUAGGAGAAAACACAUAGAAAAUGUAUGAUUGCUCAGCCCCUCAGUGAGGUGCAGGAGGUUAUAUACCAUCUUGAGGUUACACAAAAAAGUGCAUCAUGCCAAAACAGGUUAUAGGAGAGAGAAAACUUGUAAGGGUUCAGACUCUGUUAAUCCUUCCUAGAUCCAGACAAGAGAAGGCCUGUAUGAAUCAAUGCAGAUUUUCUACAGAUGCAAAUUUUUCCCACAAACGAAAGCAUUGCAGGACUACUUAUUUUGCUGGUUCUCUGGCAGCCAUCUGAAAAUAUUUCAAAUAAAUAUAUUUUGGGGUUAAACAUUUUUAUUUCUUUCAAGGUGGAAUAUUAACUAUGUAUGUCUCUUAUAGAUAUAGUUUUAAAUAAAUAAGGGAAUCCACUUUUUCUAAUUUGUUAAGAUAUGUUUUGUUUUAAGAAUGACAAGGGGUUAAAUUUUUAAAAGAUUUUCUGCAUCUACUGAUAUUAUCACAUGGUUUACUUCCUUUUUAAUGUUAAUGUGUUGACUAAUAUUAACUGAUUUUCAAGUGCUAAACCAAUAUUGAGUUCAUGGAAUAAAUCCCACUGGAUCAU